UUUAGAAGGGGCAGCAGGAAGGAGAGCAAUAGUCUGACUUGUGCACAGUGAUGAAAUCAAGCCUUAGCACCAAAAAAGAGGUACCUGAGAAUCCCACUCAAGCCUCAUGAUCUACUUCUGCUACUCCAAUCAUCAGCUCACAAGGUCCCUGCUCCAGGCUAGAGCAGCCAGUGGAAGCACCAACACCAGUAUCACAAAGGUAAGCCCUGUAAUGGUGGCCAAAGUCUCCUCAUUAGCACAGGGGAAAUCCAGACGACA
RNAcentral lists this long non-coding RNA (258 nucleotides) under Zonotrichia albicollis (white-throated sparrow). RNAcentral describes it as "lncRNA (ENSZALG00000002621.1)". Lineage: Eukaryota; Metazoa; Chordata; Aves; Passeriformes; Passerellidae. The record is from RNAcentral.